AUACAAAGAAACAUUAAUUAUUAUGUGUUACGUUUUGAUUGAACAUGAAAAUGUGGGCCUAAGAGACAAUUCUAACAUUUCUUUAUUCAUCGUCUAAUCCAAACGUAACAUGUGAUCCUCAAUAUUU
Non-coding RNA from Glycine soja, 127 nucleotides. NCBI's taxonomy places the organism in Eukaryota, Viridiplantae, Streptophyta, Magnoliopsida, Fabales, Fabaceae. The record is from Rfam.